Ictidomys tridecemlineatus (thirteen-lined ground squirrel) is the source of this 363-nucleotide non-coding RNA. NCBI's taxonomy places the organism in Eukaryota, Metazoa, Chordata, Mammalia, Rodentia, Sciuridae. The record is from RefSeq and is a predicted model, not a curated record.
CAGUUCAAAGAAAUAAAGGACCAGUCCAAAGAGGAAACCAUCUCCAAUUCUUGCAGUUGCUGGGAAUAAAGCAAUGGUCACAGAAGAGAAGAAUGCGUACUAUCAUGUUCUGGAGUCUGGAAGCCACAGAUCAGAGUGUCUGCGUGAUCAGCUUCAGGUGUACCGAGGGCUGCCUUCUUUGUCCUCACGUUGUUGUAAGGAGAUCUCCUCCUAUAACAGCACUGAUAUCAUUCAUGGGGAAAUCUACCCUUAUGCCUUAUUUACCUCCCAAAGACCUCAUCUUCAAAUACCAUCUUGUUGGGAAUUACAGCUACAGCAUGUGGAUUUUGGAGUGGGGGUUUCAGGGGAACAAAAACAUUCAAU